RNAcentral lists this long non-coding RNA (170 nucleotides) under Dasypus novemcinctus (nine-banded armadillo). Its description in RNAcentral is "lncRNA (ENSDNOG00000052327.1)". The record is from RNAcentral. Lineage: Eukaryota; Metazoa; Chordata; Mammalia; Cingulata; Dasypodidae.
GCCAUGUGACAGAAAAGUCAAGGACCGAGUGAUGCCCAUGAUCAUAUACUUGGUGUAUAAGAAUGAAUUUGCUGCCCCUAAGUGCAAGAAGAAGAUUAAUAGGAACUAUGGCUCCAAUAUCCUCCCAUCUGGACCAGGGAAGAAACCCUUGAAAGCAUUCCCAACCUGGU